This 1134-nucleotide long non-coding RNA is filed under the name Apteryx haastii (Great spotted kiwi). Its description in RNAcentral is "lncRNA (ENSAHAG00000011511.1)". The record is from RNAcentral. Lineage: Eukaryota; Metazoa; Chordata; Aves; Apterygiformes; Apterygidae.
AUGUGGCUGCUGAGGCCCAGCCAUUGCCAUCACAGACACAAGUGGAUUCAGCUGCCGCCGGCCGCGGAGGGCCUUCCACCCCCGAGGCCACCCUUCCUCCCCCACCUCCCCUGCAUGAUCCAGCUGCACUUUCAGAGCAGCUCCACAGCCAGCACCGCGGGUCUUCCAGGCCGGCGCUCUUCUCCCAUGGAGGCCAAUCCCGGGCGGGAGCUGCGGCUGCACUGCCAAGGCAGCGCUGGCYGCUUCUCCAGAGCAAAGCUGCGAUGGGUCACACGGCCUUGGCAGCAGCCUGGACGCCCCUGCGGAGCAAGCAGAGGAGGCAAAGCACACCAGGUGGUGUCGCAGCAGCUCUUUGGGCAUUUGGGAGGGGAAAAAGUGUGCGAGCAGAGCCAAGGUCAGGCUAGAAAAGGGAAACUGCACUUACCGAGGAACCUCUUCGCGCACCAAGCCUCUCCGGCGCAGGUGGGGGGCGCUGGCUCGCCGCAGCGGGGCGGCAGCAGGCGGCCGCCAUGCCAGGGCGGAGCGCCGCGGCGAGGAGGGCAACAAAAUGGCCGCCGCCCGCCGCAGGGGGGAGCUGUCGCGCCCGGCCCCGGCCCCGCCCGCCGGCUCCUCGCGGGGUUGAGGCAGCGCCACACGAGCUGCUCGCGGGGCUGCUGCAGCCGCAACGGCCGGUGCUGUUUUUUACGGCCGUUCCUAAACUUCAGCGCUGUGCGCAACGUGGCCGCAUGUGCUUCCGCCGUGGCCUCGCAGAGCUGCCCCGUUUCCCAGGCUCGCGCCCUGCCCGGCUGUCACCACGCGGGACGCAGCCUGCAGCGGCGCACGCAGCCCUUGCUCGAGUGCAGCGCAGACGCUCGCGCCCAUGCUGGUGUUUCCCACCCAAAUCUCGCACCUCACGUGGCAGCAGGGUCCAGUAAUCACCUGGCAGCCACUCUAGCUGGCCUCGCUUCGGCCCGUCUUCCAGAGCAGUGCUCCUGGGUGACCCAAGCCCUUUUCUGGCAGCUUUCAGUAAAGGUCCCUCCGUUUCUGUGUCUUUUCCAAGCAAAGCUCCACCUUCUGGUCCAUACCCCACUUUCCUCCCACCACAAUGAUCCCAGCCCCUGUGAAAAGCCUCAGCAGGAGACCUCCUGUUGCUGA